GACGAACGCUGGCGGCGUGCUUAACACAUGCAAGUCGAACGAUGAAGAAAAGAAUCGAAGCUUCGGCCGAAAUUCAUUUCGGAUUAGUGGCAGACGGGUGAGUAACGCGUGAGCAACCUACCUCUUACAAAGGGAUAGCCUCGGGAAACCGGGAUUAAUACCAUAUAACUUUGCGACGAAGCAUUUCGAUGCAAUUAAAGCUACGGCGGUAAGAGAUGGGCUCGCGUCUCAUUAACCGGAUGGUGAGGUAACGGCUCACCAUAGUGACGAUGGGUAACCGGCCUGGGAGGGUGAACGGUCACACUGGAACUGAGACACGGUCCAGACUCCUACGGGAGGCAGCAGUGGGGAAUAUUGCACAAUGGAGGGAACUCUGAUGCAGCGACGCCGCGUGAGUGAUGAAGGGAUUCGUUUCGUAAAGCUCUAUUCUAUGGGAAGAAAAGGACUGUACCAAAGGAGAAAGCUCCGGCUAAAUACGUG
Molecule: ribosomal RNA, 480 nt
Filed under: uncultured bacterium
Lineage: Bacteria
Description: partial 16S ribosomal RNA
Rfam family: Bacterial small subunit ribosomal RNA
Source: RNAcentral